AGAGUUUGAUCCUGGCUCAGGACGAACGCUGGCGGCGUGCUUAACACAUGCAAGUCACGGGGGGUCGCAAGACCAACCGGCGAACGGGUGCGUAACACGUGAGCGACCUGCCGAUUCGAGGGGGAUAGCCGGCCCAACGGCCGGGUAAUACCGCAUACGCUCUUUGACCCGCAUGGGUUGGAGAGGAAACCUCCGGGGCGAAUCGAGGGGCUCGCGGCCUAUCAGCUAGUUGGCGGGGUAACGGCCCACCAAGGCGACGACGGGUAGCUGGUCUGAGAGGAUGGCCAGCCACAUUGGGACUGAGAGACGGCCCAGACUCCUACGGGAGGCAGCAGUGGGGAAUCUUGCGCAAUGGCCGAAAGGCUGACGCAGCGACGCCGCGUGGAGGAUGACGCCCUUCGGGGUGUAAACUCCUGUUGCCCGGGACGAACAGCUCUCUUUAGGGGGCCUGACGGUACCGGGUGAGGAAGCACCGGCUAACUCCGUGCCAGCAGCCGCGGUAAUACGGAGGGUGCGAGCGUUGUCCGGAAUCACUGGGCGUAAAGGGCGCGUAGGUGGCUUGGUAAGCGUGCGGUGAAAGCCCGGGGCUCAACCCCGGGUCGGCCGUGCGAACUGCGAAGCUGGAGCACUGUAGAGGCAGGUAGAAUUCCGGGUGUAGCGGUGGAAUGCGUAGAGAUCCGGAAGAAUACCGGUGGCGAAGGCGGCCUGCUGGGCAGUGGCUGACACUGAGGCGCGACAGCGUGGGGAGCAAACAGGAUUAGAUACCCUGGUAGUCCACGCCGUAAACGAUGGGCACUAGGUGCUUGGGGGAGCGACCCUCCGAGUGCCGUCGCUAACGCAUUAAGUGCCCCGCCUGGGGAGUACGGCCGCAAGGCUGAAACUCAAAGGAAUUGACGGGGGCCCGCACAAGCGGUGGGGCAUGUGGUUUAAUUCGACGCAACGCGAAGAACCUUACCUAGGCUUGACAUGCACGGGAAACCCUUCAGAAACGGGGGGCCCUCUUCGGAGUCCGUGCACAGGUGCUGCAUGGCUGUCGUCAGCUCGUGUCGUGAGAUGUUGGGUUAAGUCCCGCAACGUGCGCAACCC
This 1086-nucleotide ribosomal RNA is filed under the name uncultured bacterium. RNAcentral describes it as "bacterial SSU rRNA". It matches the Rfam family "Bacterial small subunit ribosomal RNA", at positions 8 to 1104 of the family's 1533-position model. The record is from RNAcentral.